RNAcentral lists this ribosomal RNA (888 nucleotides) under uncultured bacterium. RNAcentral's name for it is "bacterial SSU rRNA". It matches the Rfam family "Bacterial small subunit ribosomal RNA", at positions 27 to 887 of the family's 1533-position model. The record is from RNAcentral.
GAACGAACGCGGGCGGCGUGGAUAAGACAUGCAAGUCGAACGCUUAUUUCAAGGUAGCAAUAUUUUGAAAUGGGAGUGGCGUAAGGGUGCGUAACACGUGGGCAAUUUGCCAUGAAGUUGGGGAUAACUCGCUGAAAGGCGAGCUAAUACCGAAUGUGACUGUCUGGGGGCAUCCCUGGAUUGUUAAAGUUGGGGACCGCAAGGCCUGACGCUUCAUGAUAAGCCCGCGGCCUAUCAGCUAGUUGGUGAGGUAACGGCCCACCAAGGCUAAGACGGGUAGCUGGUCUGAGAGGACGACCAGCCACACUGGAACUGAGACACGGUCCAGACACCUACGGGUGGCAGCAGUCGAGAAUUUUUCUCAAUGGGCGAAAGCUUGAAGGAGCGACGCCGCGUGGGGGAUGAAGGGCUUCGGUCUGUAAACCCCUGUCAUUUGCGAACAAACCUUCUUAUUUAAUAGAUAAGAAGCUGAUAGUAGCGAAAGAGGAAGGGACGGCUAACUCUGUGCCAGCAGCCGCGGUAAUACAGAGGUCCCAAGCGUUGUUCGGAUUCACUGGGCGUAAAGGGUGCGUAGGUGGCGGGGCAAGUUUGAUGUGAAAUCUCCGAGCUCAACUCGGAAACGGCAUUAAAUACUGCUUUGCUUGAAGGUCGGAGGGGAGACUGGAAUUCUCGGUGUAGCGGUGAAAUGCGUAGAUAUCGAGAGGAACACCGGUGGCGAAAGCGAGUCUCUGGACGAUUCUUGACACUGAGGCACGAAAGCUAGGGGAGCAAACAGGAUUAGAUACCCUGGUAGUCCUAGCCGUAAACGGUGCACAUUUGCCGUGAGAGGAAUCGACCCCUUUCGUGGCGUAGCUAACGCGAUAAGUGUGCCGCCUGGGAAGUGCGGUC